Molecule: long non-coding RNA, 3613 nt
Organism: Felis catus (domestic cat)
Lineage: Eukaryota; Metazoa; Chordata; Mammalia; Carnivora; Felidae
Exons: 3
Source: RefSeq, a predicted model, not a curated record
ACCAGAAGGAUCAAAAGGAAAAGAGGGCUCGUCCGGGAUUUGAACCCGGGACCUCUCGCACCCUAAGCGAGAAUCAUACCCCUAGACCAACGAGCCGCCACGUUCCAACGCUCCCUCUUGUCUUUCUAAGUAGGGUGCACGGCCCCGCGGCGCCGGCUCUGCGCAGCCUGGGUUUCCAGCCCGUCGCGCGUCUUCAGGCCCGCCGCAAGCUAACCGCCUGCCUCCGCAGGGUCGGACCCGGGACGUGGGGACGUUCCCCGUCCGCUGUGCAUUAGGGAAGUGUGCCUAUCUGCAGACGCGAAAGCGCGGGUUGACGCCGGACCCUGGAGCUGGGGCUGGAGCUGGGGCUGGAGCUGGGGCUGGAGCUCAGGAGAGCCGUUCGUCCCGGGCCGGGCGGCGGGGCCAGGUCCCGGACGUGGGGAUCGUCCCCGAUACCUGUGCAGGGCUCCCCAACGCGCGGGUCUGGCUGACACCAUCAGCAGCCGCAUUGCAUUAUGGCGCAGCCUGGGUCUCGGGGUUCCCGGACGUCUGGCUUUCUGGGAAGGUAACCUGACGUCGCGAGGCUGUGGCCCGAAAUUUCGGUCAGGGCUGGGUCACAUGUGCGAAUUCCGUCGUUUAGCUCCGGAACCCGGAUGGAACUCGCCAACUCUGGUUCCUGCAGGUGGGCCUUGCAGAAUGUGGGGUGCUUGGCACCUCUUACCGCGCUUCGCCUCUGCGACCAAGGGCCACGGCUUGCUUCUGGGCAACCUGAGAGGCCUCUGUGGGGAGCAGGGAUGCCAGACCCACCCAGAGAAACAGGGGGUUACCUGGAGCCCCUCCACCGUGUAACUCGGCCCCUGGGAAAUAGAGGCAAAAAGUUUGGGCUGCCCGCCUUUUGACAUAGGAGACAACGAGAUCUGCCCUCUCUCAUUGCUGGAGAGAGGGAGGGAGGAGGAGCUGCGAUCUCCCAACCGCACACAUGCCCUGGAUAGUGAAAGGACCCUCUGAAAUAGGAACGAAUAGCAUCCUCAUCACACCGAGGAGGAAAUGGAGGCACAUCACACCGAGGAGGAAAUGGAGGCACAGAGAGGUAAAGUUACUUGGCUAGGGUCCCCAGCUAGUAAGUGGCAGAGCUCUGGAAUCUAAGCUCCUCACAGGUAACCAACAGGAAGUCUCCAGCAGAGGGUCUGGCUCCCAGAAUGUGUUCCAGGCACGGCUGAGGAUAUGAUGAUGGCAGUUGCUAUUACCUCACCUGAAGCUGAGAUGAUGAAACGCGUUUUGGAAACGUACAAUCUGCUGUCUUGUCAAGAGGGAAAACUGAGUUAGCCGCAAAGGCAGCCUCAGUGUCUAAGACCCAAGGGCGGCCCGCGGGCCCUCAUCAUUCACGCAAUUUUCAAACCACAAUAUACUAUCUUGGUCUUCUGGAAACGUCCCAGUUUGCUGCAGGGAAGAGCGUGGGCUAGAACCUUAGUUUGGCCACUCAGGGGCUGUGUGACCUUGUACCGGUCACCUCACCUGUCUGCACCUCCUUUUCUUCAUCUGUGAAGUAGAUGGUGACAGUCUUAGCCUUGCAGGGUUCCUGUGAGGGUUGUGCCCUGCCCAGAGCAUGCAUGGAGCUGGCCAUCAAAAUGAGGCUUGCCCGCUCUCUUUCCCCCUCCCUGGGGCUACUUCCGUGGAAAGACCAGUUCUGGACCCAGAAAAAACUUGAAAGAAGAAAUAACUUCCCAAGUGCUCAAAAUGCAUUUAUCCUCCGGCCUCCCCGCCCUUUUCCAGAUCUUGAAAUAGCCACCCCAGCCAGGGGUUCUGGGGAGAAACACUGGCACCUGCUGCAUCCAGGCAGGGAGUUAAGUAACCUGUAAAGGGAAGAGUGUCCCCUGCGUGCCACCACCAUUGGCCAGGCCUCCGCAAUCAGCGCGAGCAUCUGAGCGUCCGCCUGCGGUGACGCAUUUUGGCCCAGACAUCUGAAGCUCGUUAGCUGUCUGCCCCCCGGGGGACUGACCCUGCUUGGUGAGAAUUAUCCCAGAGCCACAGAGGUGGAGCAAACGAAGACCAGCUGUUCCCUGAGGAAUAAGCCUUGACAGCAGAUCCUGGAAACAGCCUCAGACCGGAGGCUGGGAAGGCCUGGCGUCUCUUCCGGAACAGCACAGCUUCCGCCCAAAUGGAACUGUUUAAAUGCAGGAUAUAGCGGGGAAUACUCCCGGCUAGAAGCCCAGAGCCUGCAACCAGCCCUGCCCGGUCUGUGGAUCAACUGAAUGACCUUGGGCCGGUCCCUGCCCUCUCAGUUUCUCCCACUGUAAAAUGAAGACUUGAACUUGACCGAGUGUUUCCCCCACAGCCUUUAUCAGUCGGUCAGCUUGUUGUGGGCAAAGACCGUGCCCUCUCCUUAUUAAGUAGACCAUAGAAUUUAGAGUCAGAGGACAGGGCUCCAGCUCCCCGUCACUCCCUAGCUGUGUGACCGUGCACGGGGCACCACACCACUCUGUGCUCUGCUCCCCCAUAGAAAAACACAGGCCAGAGUGCUUGUCCUCUGUGUGUCCCACGGCUGUCAUAGAUCCCGCGAGAGGUGGACCUUAGAGACCUGUGAGCAACACAGGGCGAGAUGCUCUGCUGGGGUGUUACUCCAGGGUACCCCCUGCUUGCCCAGUGCCUGGCUCCAUCCUGGCUCAGGGGGUCUGGCCCAGGCUUGUAGAUGGAGCCUGUGCCUGCCCGCGGGCACACGGAGCUCUGGCAAGAGGAGUGUGUGGACCCUGGGCCCGGCCCACCGUAUGAAGUGUCAGUAACGUUGCCCAGAGGGCCUCGGGGCCCAUGACAUCAUGGACAGCAGUUUCCAUGUUGGAGCUCACAGAGCUAAGGCCAUUUUAAAAAAUAGCACUGCCUUUUUUCCUUUCUUUCUUUUUCCACUUUGGCUAUGACAUGGAAUGUGAGAGCAGCUAAACUAUUGCGGGAAGAAGAGGCUGGGUUCAUAGACUGACUCUGCUUUCUGGGGUCCUAAAAACAAUGCCAAACCUGGGAGGUCUGGCCCCUGCUUCCUCAUGCCCACCUUGACCCCCCUCCAGGCUGCCCUGACGGGACCAGGGGGGUGGCCAGUCAUGGUCUGCCUCUGGUUCCCAGGUAACCUUUCUGGACCUCAGCUUGCCAUUUGUUAUGGACUGGAUGUUCAUGCUCACACCCCCCAGCCCCAGCUUCCGAUGUUGGGUCCCUAUUCCCCAGUGCCGCCCCCUACAGUUUGAUGGUAUUUGGGGUAGGGCCUUUGGUAGAUAAUUAGAUGAGGGCAUGAAGGUGGGGUUCCCAUGACGAGAUUAGCGUCUUUAUAAGAGGCAGAGACAUCAGAGCUCACUUUCUCUGUCUCUCUCCCUGCGUGUGCACCAAUAGGGUGUGUGAGGACACAGUGAGAUGGUGGCCAUCUGCAAGCUGGGAGGUGAGCCCUCAGCAAGAACCAAUCUGUCAGCACCUUGAUCUGGGACUUCCCAGCAUCCAGAACUGUGAGGCGUAGAUGUCUGCUGUUUAGGCCAUCCAGUCUAGGGUAUUUUGUUCCAGCAGCCUGAGUGGACUGAGCCGCAUCUAUGAAACAAGGAAAAUAAUCCCUCCCCUAACUAUCGCUGAUGAGAAUAAUGCAAUAAUAGCUAACCAUUUA